GGAUUCUCUCUCUCUCUCUCUCUCUCUCUCUCUCUCUCUCUCUCUCUAUAUAUAUAUAUAUGGUUGUUGGUUUAAAGGGAUCAGCAUCCUGUCCUAUGAUGGAGGUCAUGGUUGGACCGAAUCAUAUUCGAAAUAGCAGGAGGUCGGGUUGAACCAAGUCAUGUUCGAAGUGACGUGAGGCUGAUUGAAUGAGUCACAAACGAGACUCGUAGAUACUGUGUCCGUAUAUUUUAAGUGAAUUAAUUAUAUAUUCUUAUAUUCUUAUCAACUCAAACUUUCGAAAUUAAUG
RNAcentral lists this long non-coding RNA (289 nucleotides) under Ananas comosus (pineapple). RNAcentral describes it as "long non-coding RNA (ACOM_LNC018058)". The record is from RNAcentral. Lineage: Eukaryota; Viridiplantae; Streptophyta; Magnoliopsida; Poales; Bromeliaceae.